AUGAAGGAUCUAGGAGUAGCUAAUGUUAUCUUAAACAUCAAACUGUUGAGAGAUGAGAAUGGUGGGAUCACACUGCUUCAGUCUCACUAUGUGGAAAAGAUUAAGGCCACAAGUGGUUAUGUUUUUACACUUGAUGGUGGCGCUGUUUCCAGGAAGUCUUGCAAGCAGACCAUCUUAACGAGGUCAACUAUGGAAGCAGAACUCACAGCAUUAGACACUGCCACUGUUGAAGCAGAGUGGCUUCGUGAGCCCUUGAUGGACUUACCUAUGGUUGAAAAACCAAUACCCCCUAUCCUGAUGAACUGUGAUAAUCAAACUGUGAUCGUCAAGAUAAACAGUUCUAAGGACAAUAUGAAGUCCUCAAGGCAUGUGAAGAGGAGACUAAAAUCUGUCAGAAAAUUGAGGAACUCCGGAGUUAUUACGUUGGAUUAUAUCCAAACAACGAAAAACUUGGCAGAUCCCUUCACAAAGGGUUUACCACGUAAUGUGAUAGAUAAUGCAUCGAUGGAGAUGGGUUUGAGACCCACC
This 528-nucleotide ribosomal RNA is filed under the name Triticum aestivum (bread wheat). RNAcentral describes it as "partial small subunit ribosomal RNA". The record is from RNAcentral. Lineage: Eukaryota; Viridiplantae; Streptophyta; Magnoliopsida; Poales; Poaceae.